UACAGAGGUCCCAAGCGUUGUUCGGAUUCACUGGGCGUAAAGGGUGCGUAGGUGGUGGGGUAAGUUUGAGGUGAAAGCUCCGGGCUCAACCCGGAAAUUGCCUUGAAGACUAUCCCGCUAGAGGAUCGGAGGGGAGACUGGAAUUCUCGGUGUAGCAGUGAAAUGCGUAGAUAUCGAGAGGAACACCAGUGGCGAAGGCGAGUCUCUGGACGAUACCUGACACUGAGGCACGAAAGCCAGGGGAGCAAACGGG
Molecule: ribosomal RNA, 253 nt
Filed under: uncultured bacterium
Lineage: Bacteria
Description: partial 16S ribosomal RNA
Rfam family: Bacterial small subunit ribosomal RNA
Source: RNAcentral